RNAcentral lists this ribosomal RNA (1520 nucleotides) under uncultured bacterium. RNAcentral describes it as "bacterial SSU rRNA". It matches the Rfam family "Bacterial small subunit ribosomal RNA". The record is from RNAcentral.
GUUUGCUCCUGGCUCAGAGUGAACGCUAGCGGCGUGGAUUAGGCAUGCAAGUCGAGCGCGAAAGUCCGCAAGGAUGAGUAGAGCGGCAAAAGGGUGAGUAAUACAUGGUCAACGUACCCCCGGCACUGGAACAACCGCUGGAAACGGCGGCUAAUGCCAGAUGGCCCCAGAGGAUCGCAUGAUCUCCUGGGUAAAAGGAUGGGACCUUCGGGCCUUCCGGCUAGGGAGCGGACCAUGGGCUAUCAGCUAGUUGGUGAGGUAACGGCUCACCAAGGCUUUGACGGCUAGGCGGUCUGAGAGGAUGGCCGCCCACAUCGGGACUGAGACACUGCCCGGACUCCUACGGGAGGCUGCAGUCGAGGAUCUUCUGCAAUGGGCGAAAGCCUGACAGAGCGACGCCGCGUGAGGGAUGAAGGCCUUCGGGUUGUAAACCUCUUUCGCCCGUUACGAAUGCCUGGGUGUGAAUAGCACACAGGUUGACUAAGGCGGGUAAAGAAGCACCGGCUAACUACGUGCCAGCAGCCGCGGUAAUACGUAGGGUGCAAGCGUUACUCGGAAUCACUGGGCGUAAAGGGUGCGUAGGCUGCCUGCUAAGUUGGAUGUGAAAGCCCUCGGCUUAACCGAGGAACUGCGUCCAAAACUGGCGGGCUUGAGGUUGGUAGGGGACAGUGGAACUCCAGGUGGAGCGGUGAAAUACGUAGAGAUCUGGAGGAACGCCGGUGGCGAAAGCGACUGUCUGGGCCAUUCCUGACGCUGAGGCACGAAAGCCAGGGGAGCAAACGGGAUUAGAUACCCCGGUAGUCCUGGCCGUAAACGAUGAACACUAGCUUGGGGGCGCCUUCGGGCCUCCCUUGCGAAGCUAACGCGUUAAGUGUUCCGCCUGGGGGAGUAUGCGCGCAAGCGUAAAACUCAAAGGAAUUGACGGGGGCUCACACAAGCGGUGGAGCAUGUGGUUCAAUUCGAAGCUACGCGAAGAACCUUACCCAGGCUUGACAUGGACGGAUUAGUUCCCGGAAACGGGAAUGACAGCCUUCGGGUCGGAACGUUCACAGGUGUUGCAUGGCUGUCGUCAGCUCGUGUCGUGAGAUGUCGGGUUAAGUCCCUGAACGAGCGAAACCCCUGUCGUCAGUUGCCAUCACGUAAUGGUGGGGACUCUGACGAGACUGCCGUGGUUAACACGGAGCAAGGUGGGGACGACGUCAAGUCAUCAUGGCCCUUAUGCCUGGGGCUACACACGUGCUACAAUGGGCGGUACAGAGGGUUGCCAAGUCGCGAGACGGAGCUAAUCCCUAAAGCCGUUCCCAGUUCAGAUUGAAGGCUGCAACUCGCCUUCAUGAAGCUGGAAUCGCUAGUAAUCGCGGGUCAGCCACACCGCGGUGAAUAUGUUCCUGAGCCUUGUACACACUGCCCGUCAAGCCACGAAAGCUGGGAGUGCUUGAAGUCGUCAAACGAACCGCAAGGACGCGUGACGCCCAUGGCAAGCUCGGUGAUCGGGACUAAGUCGUAACAAGGUAACCGUA